GACGAACGCUGGCGGCGUGCUUAACACAUGCAAGUCGAACGAUGAUGCCAGCUUGCUGGUGGAUUAGUGGCGAACGGGUGAGUAACACGUGAGCAACCUGCCCCUGACUUCGGGAUAACCGCGGGAAACCGUGGCUAAUACCGGAUAUGACGCGCUAUCGCAUGGUGGUGUGUGGAAAGAUUUAUCGGUUGGGGAUGGGCUCGCGGCCUAUCAGCUUGUUGGUGGGGUGAUGGCCUACCAAGGCGACGACGGGUAGCCGGCCUGAGAGGGUGACCGGCCACACUGGGGCUGAGACACGGAGCAGACAGCUGCGGGAGGCAGGCGUGGGGAGUAAUGCACAAUGAGCGAAAGCCUGAUGCAGCGACGCCGCGUGGGGGAUGACGGCCUUCGGGUUGUAAACCUCUUUCAGUAGGGAAGAAGGCCUUCGGGUUGACGGUACCUGCAGAAGAAGCGCCGGCUAACUACGUG
RNAcentral lists this ribosomal RNA (468 nucleotides) under uncultured bacterium. RNAcentral describes it as "partial 16S ribosomal RNA". It matches the Rfam family "Bacterial small subunit ribosomal RNA", at positions 28 to 507 of the family's 1533-position model. The record is from RNAcentral.